This 529-nucleotide ribosomal RNA is filed under the name uncultured bacterium. RNAcentral's name for it is "bacterial SSU rRNA". It matches the Rfam family "Bacterial small subunit ribosomal RNA", at positions 777 to 1304 of the family's 1533-position model. The record is from RNAcentral.
AAUAGAUACCCAGGUAGUCCACGCUGUAAACGUUGGGCGCUAGGUGUGGGGGGCCUCUCCGGUUCCCUGUGCCGCAGCUAACGCAUUAAGCGCCCCGCCUGGGGAGUACGGCCGCAAGGCUAAAACUCAAAAGAAUUGACGGGGGCCCGCACAAGCGGCGGAGCAUGCGGAUUAAUUCGAUGCAACGCGAAGAACCUUACCUGGGUUUGACAUGCACCAGACAUCCCUAGAGAUAGGGCUUCCCUUGUGGUUGGUGUGCAGGUGGUGCAUGGCUGUCGUCAGCUCGUGUCGUGAGAUGUUGGGUUAAGUCCCGCAACGAGCGCAACCCUCGUUCCAUGUUGCCAGCGCGUAAUGGCGGGGACUCAUGGGAGACUGCCGGGGUCAACUCGGAGGAAGGUGGGGAUGACGUCAAGUCAUCAUGCCCCUUAUGUCCAGGGCUUCACACAUGCUACAAUGGCCGGUACAGAGGGUUGCGAGACCGUGAGGUGGAGCGAAAUCCCUUAAAGCCGGUCUCAGUUCGGAUCGGGGU